RNAcentral lists this ribosomal RNA (119 nucleotides) under Xenopus laevis (African clawed frog). Lineage: Eukaryota; Metazoa; Chordata; Amphibia; Anura; Pipidae. The record is from RNAcentral.
GCUUGAGCCUGUGUCACCCUGAAAGUGCCUGAUCUCGUCUGAUCUCAGAAGCGAUACAGGGUUGGGCCUGCUUAAUACCUGGAUGGGAGACCGCCUGGGAAUACCAGUUGUCGUAGGCU